Ostrinia nubilalis (European corn borer) is the source of this 564-nucleotide long non-coding RNA. RefSeq lists it as uncharacterized. Lineage: Eukaryota; Metazoa; Arthropoda; Insecta; Lepidoptera; Crambidae. The transcript has 4 exons. The record is from RefSeq and is a predicted model, not a curated record.
AGGUGGCUGGCUUCUCAAACUACGGGCUGGGGCCGUUCUCCUUCCCCAUUGUCUGCUCGACACUCCAAGACGUUCCCGACGCCCCAGCAGAAAUCAAGCUUCUAUCGCAAUCUUCAAACAUAUUACUGGUCAGCUGGAAAAAGCCACGACAACCGAAUGGCAGGCUGCUACAUUAUACAGUUUAUUGUAAACCCACUGCAAGCAACGACGGCCCCCAAACCCUUCGGAUAGACGCACAGCAAACGACUGAUGCUUAUGAGAAGACUCAAACAGUAGAACUGAAAGGGCUGAAUGAAGGCAGACAGUAUGACGUAUGGGUCACCGCCAGCACAAUCAUCGGUGAAGGACCUGAGAGCAGGAGAGUCACUAACACUCCUUCACAGAGAGUUGUGGCAGGCGUAGCGUCAUUAGGAGGAGAAGUGACUGUAGCUGUGAGGAACUCCCUCCUCCUAGAGUGCAAGAGUGUCGGCUCCCCCCCUCCUAGGACCGUGUGGUACCACAACCAGAACAUCAUCACCCACCACCCCAGGUUUACCAGAAACCGGGACGAUAGCUUGCUGAUUA